CUAUCAGGUCCUCUAUACUGGACUGUAUAAUGACCUAUCAGGUCCUCUAUACUGGACUGUAUAAUGACCUAUCAGGUCCUCUAUACUGGACUGUAUAAUGACCUAUCAGGUCCUCUAUACUGGACUGUAUAAUGACCUAUCAGGUCCUCUAUACUGGACUGUAUAAUGACCUAUCAGGUCCUCUAUACUGAACUGUAUAAUGACCUAUCAGGUCCUCUAUACUGGACUGUAUAAUGACCUAUCAGGUCCUCUAUACUGAACUGUAUAAUGACCUAUCAGGUCCUUUUUUUCUGCAGCGGUGGCAAAGUUAGUGUAGUGGGUGUGGCCAAUGGCACGGUCUCCAACCGAAAAUGAGCAGAGAUAUUUUGGUGUUUUAAAGCUAAAUGUCCUUCAAUUCUACACAUGUUGCUGUGGCUUAUGGCGUGUUCUUAUGCUAUCUGAAUGACUCAAACAGUAUAACUAAAUCAAUGCGGGCCCCAGGACAUGAUAUUUGGGGAAUUUUGAUUCUCCUGACUAAUUUUUAUUUUGG
Molecule: long non-coding RNA, 529 nt
Organism: Oncorhynchus tshawytscha (Chinook salmon)
Lineage: Eukaryota; Metazoa; Chordata; Actinopteri; Salmoniformes; Salmonidae
Source: Ensembl